Molecule: ribosomal RNA, 468 nt
Filed under: uncultured bacterium
Lineage: Bacteria
Description: partial 16S ribosomal RNA
Rfam family: Bacterial small subunit ribosomal RNA
Source: RNAcentral
GACGAACGCUAGCGGCGUGCUUAACACAUGCAAGUCGAACGGAAAGGCCCUGCUUUUGUGGGGUGCUCGAGUGGCGAACGGGUGAGUAACACGUGAGUAACCUGCCCUUGACUUUGGGAUAACUUCAGGAAACUGGGGCUAAUACCGGAUAGGAGCUCCUGCUGCAUGGUGGGGGUUGGAAAGUUUCGGCGGUUGGGGAUGGACUCGCGGCUUAUCAGCUUGUUGGUGGGGUAGUGGCUUACCAAGGCUUUGACGGGUAGCCGGCCUGAGAGGGUGACCGGCCACAUGGGGACUGAGAUACGGCCCAGACUCCUACGGGAGGCAGCAGUGGGGAAUAUUGCACAAUGGGCGGAAGCCUGAUGCAGCAACGCCGCGUGCGGGAUGACGGCCUUCGGGUUGUAAACCGCUUUCGCCUGUGACGAAGCGUGAGUGACGGUAAUGGGUAAAGAAGCACCGGCUAACUACGUG